This is a long non-coding RNA of Hyaena hyaena (striped hyena), 489 nucleotides long. RefSeq lists it as uncharacterized. The transcript has 3 exons. The record is from RefSeq and is a predicted model, not a curated record. Lineage: Eukaryota; Metazoa; Chordata; Mammalia; Carnivora; Hyaenidae.
GGAAAAAGUUCACCAAGACCCCCGAGUUAGGUGAUACAUUUCCCAUCCAAGACUCAGUUCGCCAACAUCAAUCCAGAGGGAAUACGGACAUUACCUUUGAGUCUGCCGAUAAAGGCAUAAACACUGGAGAUGAAACUAUUUCUGUGAAAUUACUCAUUAACUUUUGAAGGAAAGAUCAACUUACUGGAAUUUUUCGUAAUUGCCAAAUGCGCUCUGGGCUCCCUUCUACACAGUUCUCAUCUCUAUGUUGAGAAUGGAAAAAAGAAAAGGCAUCAAGGCAUCAAGGGAGUCAAGUUUCAGAAGAAUUUGAUGAAGUACAGUCUGGAAAGAUCUGGAAGGAGGCAUUAAAACCAAAAGAGGAGACAAUGGUCAUCAAAGCCAGAAUCCUGCCGAGUCAUUGGUCAUGCAGGGAGUCAGCGCUGAGCACCUGGUUCUCAUGACAGACACACUGCGGUGCCGUGGGAGGGGCGACAGAGGGGCGCCGACCAG